UACGUAGGGUGCGAGCGUUGUCCGGAAUUACUGGGCGUAAAGAGCUCGUAGGUGGUUUGUCGCGUUGUUCGUGAAAACUCACAGCUCAACUGUGGGCGUGCGGGCGAUACGGGCAGACUGGAGUACUGCAGGGGAGACUGGAAUUCCUGGUGUAGCGGUGGAAUGCGCAGAUAUCAGGAGGAACACCAAUGGCGAAGGCAGCUCGCUGGAACGGUACUGACGCUGAGGCGCGAAAGCGUGGGGAGCGAACAGG
Molecule: ribosomal RNA, 253 nt
Filed under: uncultured bacterium
Lineage: Bacteria
Description: partial 16S ribosomal RNA
Rfam family: Bacterial small subunit ribosomal RNA
Source: RNAcentral